This 253-nucleotide ribosomal RNA is filed under the name uncultured bacterium. RNAcentral describes it as "partial 16S ribosomal RNA". It matches the Rfam family "Bacterial small subunit ribosomal RNA", at positions 524 to 776 of the family's 1533-position model. The record is from RNAcentral.
UACGUAGGGUGCAAGCGUUGUCCGGAAUUAUUGGGCGUAAAGAGCUCGUAGGCGGUUUGUCGCGUCGAAUGUGAAAACCCGGGGCUCAACCCCGGGCCUGCAUUCGAUACGGGCAGACUAGAGUUCGGUAGGGGAGUCUGGAAUUCCUGGUGUAGCGGUGAAAUGCGCAGAUAUCGGGAGGAACACCCGUAGCGAAGGCGGCACCCUGGGCCGGUACUGACGCUGAGGAGCGAAAGCGUGGGGAGCAAACAGG